UACUUUGCUCGGAUGGUCAAGG
Molecule: microRNA, 22 nt
Filed under: Canis lupus familiaris (dog)
Lineage: Eukaryota; Metazoa; Chordata; Mammalia; Carnivora; Canidae
Description: cfa-miR-8810
Source: miRBase by way of RNAcentral